This 253-nucleotide ribosomal RNA is filed under the name uncultured bacterium. RNAcentral's name for it is "partial 16S ribosomal RNA". It matches the Rfam family "Bacterial small subunit ribosomal RNA", at positions 524 to 776 of the family's 1533-position model. The record is from RNAcentral.
UACGAAGGGAGCUAGCGUUGUUCGGAAUUACUGGGCGUAAAGAGUACGUAGGCUGUUUUUUAAGUUAGGCGUGAAAGCCCCGGGCUCAACCCGGGAAUUGCGCUUAAAACUGGAAAACUUGAGAUUGGGAGAGGAAAGUGGAAUAACUAGUGUAGAGGUGAAAUUCGUAGAUAUUAGUUAGAACACCAGUGGCGAAGGCGACUUUCUGGACCAAUACUGACGCUGAGGUACGAAAGCGUGGGGAGCAAACAGG